RNAcentral lists this ribosomal RNA (447 nucleotides) under uncultured organism. RNAcentral's name for it is "partial 16S ribosomal RNA". It matches the Rfam family "Bacterial small subunit ribosomal RNA", at positions 334 to 797 of the family's 1533-position model. The record is from RNAcentral.
CACUCCUGCGGGAGGCAGCAGUGGGGAAUAUUGGACAAUGGGCGCAAGCCUGAUCCAGCCAUGCCGCGUGAGUGAUGAAGGCCCUAGGGUUGUAAAGCUCUUUCACCGGUGAAGAUAAUGACGGUAACCGGAGAAGAAGCCCCGGCUAACUUCGUGCCAGCAGCCGCGGUAAUACGAAGGGGGCUAGCGUUGUUCGGAUUUACUGGGCGUAAAGCGCACGUAGGCGGACUAUUAAGUCAGGGGUGAAAUCCCGGAGCUCAACCCCGGAACUGCCUUUGAUACUGGUAGUCUUGAGUUCGAGAGAGGUGAGUGGAAUUCCGAGUGUAGAGGUGAAAUUCGUAGAUAUUCGGAGGAACACCAGUGGCGAAGGCGGCUCACUGGCUCGAUACUGACGCUGAGGUGCGAAAGCGUGGGGAGCAAACAGGAUUAGAAACCCUAGUAGUCCCA